RNA transcript from Abrus precatorius (Indian licorice), 2881 nucleotides. It is a transcript of the gene named probable pre-mRNA-splicing factor ATP-dependent RNA helicase DEAH2, with no coding region annotated. The transcript is spliced from 7 exons. The record is from RefSeq and is a predicted model, not a curated record. NCBI's taxonomy places the organism in Eukaryota, Viridiplantae, Streptophyta, Magnoliopsida, Fabales, Fabaceae.
AUAAUACCCCACUGGUUAAGGUUGUCGGCUCGUCAAGACACCGUUCUGAAUCGGAAAUCACGUUCUUCUCCUUCGUUGGUUUAUUAAUUUUGUAACAUAGAAUAACAAUUGCACCAUAACCUUAACAUAGCCCCUCCUUAACACGUUUCUUCAUAGUUCUAGGAGCUUCGAUUGAGUAAGUUAGGAAUUUAUUAUUGCGAAAGUUGUGAAAAGAUACUCAUAUUUGGCAUUUGCGUGGGUGGGGGAUUAGGAUUAGGGUUUUGAUGGGUACUGAGAGGAAGAGGAAGGUGAGUUUGUUUGAUGUGGUUGACGACGGUGCGGCGAAGAUGGCGAAAUCAAAUGGCGCUAACAGCCUCGUUAACCGAUGGAACGGGAAACCCUAUUCGCAAAGGUACUGUGAGAUUUUGGAGAAGAGGAAGAGUCUCCCCGUUUGGCAGCAGAAGGAGGAGUUCUUGCAGGUUUUGAAAGAUAACCAGACUAUCAUUCUCGUUGGUGAGACUGGUAGUGGCAAAACCACUCAGAUCCCUCAGUUUGUCUUGGAAGCUGUUGAUAUAGAAACCCCAGAUAAACGCAGGAAGAUGAUGAUUGCUUGCACUCAGCCUCGUAGAGUGGCUGCAAUGUCUGUUUCCAGGCGUGUGGCAGAGGAGAUGGAUGUGAAUAUCGGAGAAGAGGUUGGUUACAGCAUCAGAUUUGAAGAUUGCAGUAGUGCAAGGACAGUUUUGAAGUAUCUCACUGAUGGUAUGCUUUUGAGAGAAGCAAUGACAGAUCCACUUUUGGAACGAUACAAGGUAAUUAUUCUUGAUGAAGCACAUGAAAGGACUUUGGCUACAGAUGUGCUAUUUGGCCUUCUUAAGGAAGUGCUUAAAAAUAGACCUGACUUGAAGUUGGUUGUUAUGAGUGCAACACUUGAAGCUGAAAAGUUCCAGGGUUAUUUUUAUGGGGCCCCUCUUAUGAAAGUUCCUGGAAGACUGCAUCCUGUGGAAAUCUUCUAUACUCAGGAACCAGAAAGGGAUUACUUGGAGGCUGCUAUUAGGACAGUGGUGCAGAUACACAUGUGUGAACCUUCUGGAGAUAUACUUGUUUUUCUCACUGGAGAGGAAGAGAUAGAAGAUGCAUGUCGCAAAAUAACAAAAGAAAUUUCAAAUAUGGGUGAUCAGGUGGGGCCUGUGAAAGUGGUACCCUUGUAUUCUACUCUUCCUCCAGCUAUGCAGCAGAAGAUUUUUGAGCCAGCGCCACCCCCACUUAAGGAGGGAGGACCUCCUGGAAGGAAGAUUGUGGUAUCAACAAACAUAGCCGAAACUUCCUUGACAAUUGAUGGUAUAGUCUAUGUUAUUGACCCUGGAUUUGCUAAGCAGAAGGUUUAUAACCCUCGAGUCCGUGUGGAGUCUUUGUUGGUGUCACCAAUAUCAAAGGCUAGUGCACACCAGAGAUCUGGACGUGCUGGAAGAACUCAGCCAGGAAAAUGUUUUAGACUUUAUACUGAAAGAAGUUUCAAUAAUGAUCUACAGCCACAGACCUAUCCUGAAAUUUUGAGAUCUAAUCUUGCCAACAUUGUUCUUACCUUGAAGAAACUGGGUAUAGAUGAUUUAGUGCAUUUUGAUUUUAUGGACCCUCCUGCCCCUGAGACCUUGAUGCGUGCAUUAGAAGUGUUGAAUUACUUGGGUGCACUGGAUGAUGACGGUAAUUUAACAAAGUUGGGUGAGAUUAUGAGUGAAUUUCCUUUGGACCCUCAAAUGUCAAAGAUGCUCGUUGUUAGUCCUGAAUUCAACUGUUCAAAUGAGAUUCUUUCCGUUUCUGCCAUGCUAUCAGUUUCUCAGUAUUCUCUCAUGAAGAAAAUGGUGUGGUCUCGCCUCUAUGCAUCUGCUGACCUUCCGUGGGCCUCCUCUGUGAUAAUAAUUUCUUUCUUUAGUACCCAAUUGCUUUGUCCGGCCUAGAGAGGCACAAAAAGCUGCGGAUGAAGCGAAAGCUAGGUUUGGACACAUUGAUGGAGAUCAUCUCACGCUCUUGAAUGUAUAUCACGCAUACAAGCAAAAUAACGAGGAUCCUUCUUGGUGCUAUGAUAACUUUGUUAAUCAUAGGGCGCUGAAAGCAGCUGAUAAUGUUAGACAACAACUAGUGCGUAUCAUGGCUCGGUUUAACCUCAAGUUAUGCAGCACUGACUUCAAUAGUCGUGACUACUAUGUCAACAUAAGAAAAGCAAUGCUAGCAGGAUAUUUCAUGCAGGUGGCUCAUUUGGAGCGGACAGGACAUUACUUGACAGUGAAAGACAACCAGGUGGUGCACUUGCAUCCAUCAAAUUGCCUGGACCACAAGCCUGAAUGGGUAAUAUAUAAUGAAUAUGUUCUUACCAGUCGGAAUUUUAUUCGGACUGUGACAGAUAUACGCGGGGAGUGGUUAGUGGAUAUAGCACCCCAUUACUAUGAUUUGUCUAAUUUUCCACAAUGUGAAGCGAAGCGUGUUCUUGAAAGGCUUUACAAGAAACGAGAAAAGGAAAAGGAGGAAGCCAGGAGUCUUAAAUGAAGUCCUACCAUCCACGCCUUUUUUGCCUUUGGAUUGGAAUUGGACGGGGAGUCUCUUUCAAUUUUACGCCAUAAUUGUGUUAUGGGAAAGUUCCCUGAUAUUACCGUCGAAGGACAUAUUGAUUGUUGGUAAUUUUAGUGAAAAAUAGGUCGAGUUCCUUGUACUAUUUGUUAGAGCAUUAGCAACAUGUUUUGUAUUCGACUUUGUGCUGUUGCACCCUCUGGGUAUUGACUAUCUGUGUUUCGUUUAGAUGCCUCAUCACUGCAUUAUCCUAGGGAUAUAUUAUGUUCUAUUUUUUUUUAAAAGGAUAUUAAAGCUCUGAAAAUAUUGUUAUUCUUUUAUUGUCAAAAUAAACUAAUGC